Molecule: ribosomal RNA, 432 nt
Filed under: uncultured bacterium
Lineage: Bacteria
Description: partial 16S ribosomal RNA
Rfam family: Bacterial small subunit ribosomal RNA
Source: RNAcentral
GCGAACGCUGGCGGCAGGCCUAACACAUGCAAGUCGAACGAACUCUUCGGAGUUAGUGGCGGACGGGUGAGUAACACGUGGGAACGUGCCUUUAGGUUCGGAAUAACUCAGGGAAACUUGUGCUAAUACCGAAUGUGCCCUUCGGGGGAAAGAUUUAUCGCCUUUAAAGCGGCCCGCGUCUGAUUAGCUAGUUGGUGAGGUAAAGGCUCACCAAGGCGACGAUCAGUAGCUGGUCUGAGAGGAUGAUCAGCCACAUUGGGACUGAGACACGGCCCAAACUCCUACGGGAGGCAGCAGUGGGGAAUCUUGCGCAAUGGGCGAAAGCCUGACGCAGCCAUGCCGCGUGAAUGAUGAAGGUCUUAGGAUUGUAAAAUUCUUUCACCGGGGACGAUAAUGACGGUACCCGGAGAAGAAGCCCCGGCUAACUUCGUG